This 404-nucleotide ribosomal RNA is filed under the name Glomus sp. (unid). The record is from RNAcentral. Lineage: Eukaryota; Fungi; Glomeromycota; Glomeromycetes; Glomerales; Glomeraceae.
CAGUCUUACCUGCGGAUAAUCAGCUUUUUGAGUGUGAUUAUGUGGUUUAUGAGGAGUUUAACCGCCUUCAUGUAUUGCAUAUUUGUGCUCUUGGGUGUACUUGCCUGUGUGGUUGGUUAACAUCAAUUUCGGUCGGCAUAAAAUGAUUAGAGGAAUGUAGCUUUGAUCUCGUAUCGAAGUGUUAUAGCCUUCGGCAGAUGUGAUGAUCGAGAUUGAGGAUUGCAACGGAUACCCUUCGGGGCUACCUGUCUGAUCUCUGAUCGUUGCUCUGGUACCGAAAGCGUGCUUACGGUUAUCAAAGUCGAUGGUCAACAGGUUAGAACGGGUUAAAUUCGUUAAGGAUGUUGACGUAAUGGCUUUAAACGCCCGUCUUGAAACACGGACCAAGGAGUCUAACAUGUAUG